GGUUGUGGCUCAAUGGUAGAGCACUUGCCUAAUAUGUGUGAGGCCCUGAGUUUGAUUCUCAACACCA
This 67-nucleotide transfer RNA is filed under the name Marmota monax (woodchuck). RNAcentral's name for it is "tRNA.Ile". It matches the Rfam family "tRNA". From Rfam's summary of the family: Transfer RNA (tRNA) molecules are approximately 80 nucleotides in length. Their secondary structure includes four short double-helical elements and three loops (D, anti-codon, and T loops). The record is from RNAcentral. Lineage: Eukaryota; Metazoa; Chordata; Mammalia; Rodentia; Sciuridae.